UACAUGGGGUGCAAACGUUGCUCGGAAUUAUUGGGCGUAAAGCGCGCGUAGGCGGUUACUCAAGUCGGAUGUGAAAGCCCUCGGCUUAACUGAGGAAGUGCACCCGAAACUGAGUAGCUAGAGUACUAAAGAGGGUCGCGGAAUUCCCGGUGUAGAGGUGAAAUUCGUAGAUAUCGGGAGGAACACCGGUGGCGAAGGCGGCGACCUGGGUAGAUACUGACGCUGAGGCGCGAAAGCGUGGGGAGCAAACCGG
RNAcentral lists this ribosomal RNA (253 nucleotides) under uncultured bacterium. RNAcentral's name for it is "partial 16S ribosomal RNA". It matches the Rfam family "Bacterial small subunit ribosomal RNA", at positions 524 to 776 of the family's 1533-position model. The record is from RNAcentral.